GGGGCCGACCGGUUUCGACGGCAAGGUUCUUUGACAAGUAAGCAUGCCGAGGUUGGGUUUCCUCGUUAAUCAAGCCCGACACAACAAUAAAUGGCGAAGCUAACUUUGCGCUCGCUGCCUAAUUCCGAAGCACAGUAGGAAUUAAGGCCAACGUUCCGGCAAGGCCGGAAGGCGGGCAGUCCCUCGGAUGCCUUGGUUUACGGCGUCCGGUAAAGGGGCUCCGGAAAGUAAACCUGGGAACGGUGAGGCCGCUAAGCCGUUCCGAGAAAGCAGCGGCUAAGCCGUAAGUGGUCUGUCCGUGGACAGCUUACGGCCGACCAUCAAACACGGACUAAGCAUGUAGAAAGCUUGCCAAAAUCUUGACCGGACGAGGGUUCGAGUCCCUCCGGCUCCACUA
RNAcentral lists this transfer-messenger RNA (397 nucleotides) under Flavobacteriales. RNAcentral describes it as "JAADED01 sp013153655 Standard tmRNA". It matches the Rfam family "transfer-messenger RNA". Rfam says of the family: Bacterial tmRNA, also known as 10Sa RNA or SsrA, is named for its dual tRNA and mRNA-like properties. RNAcentral also lists the same sequence under 1 other name. The record is from RNAcentral. Lineage: Bacteria; Pseudomonadati; Bacteroidota; Flavobacteriia.